Molecule: ribosomal RNA, 468 nt
Filed under: uncultured bacterium
Lineage: Bacteria
Description: partial 16S ribosomal RNA
Rfam family: Bacterial small subunit ribosomal RNA
Source: RNAcentral
GACGAACGCUGGCGGCGUGCUUAACACAUGCAAGUCGAACGGAAAGGCCCUGCUUUUGUGGGGUGCUCGAUUGGCGAACGGGUGAGUAACACGUGAGUAACCUUCCCUUUACUUUGGGAUAACUUCAGGAAACUUGGGCUAAUACCGGAUAGGAGCUCCUGCUGCAUGGUGGGGGUUGGAAAGUUUCGGCGGUUGGGGAUGGACUCGCGGCUUAUCAGCUUGUUUGUGGGGUAGUGGCUUACCAAGGCUUUGACGGGUAGCCGGCCUGAGAGGGUGAACGGCCAAAUUGGGACUGAGAUACGGACAAGACUCCUAAGGGAGGCAGCAGGGGGGAAUAUUGCACAAUGGGAGGAAGCCUGAUGAAGAAAAGCGGCGUGAGGGAAGACGGCCUUCGGGUUGUAAAACGCAUUCGCCUGAGACGAAGAGUGAGUGACGGUAAUGGGUAAAGAAGCACCGGCUAACUACGUG